Molecule: long non-coding RNA, 1444 nt
Organism: Callithrix jacchus (white-tufted-ear marmoset)
Lineage: Eukaryota; Metazoa; Chordata; Mammalia; Primates; Cebidae
Source: Ensembl
UCACUGACCUCUGUGGGAUACACAUAAUUCAUUGAAUGUUAAUGCUGCACUAUAAUUCAGGAAUCCUUAAAGAAGCCACAGCCACGUCAAAAUAGCCACCAAAGCAGGGUGAGUCUCACUCUUCUGUGAGCAAAAGAUAUCACUUAAAUGCUAGAACAGAACUCCACAUUUUACCCCAAUGGGGAAGCUUUAUCCUAGAGGAGAAAAUGGAAGUUACCCAUCAUUGCCCACAGCUGACUGAAUAAAGACCACAAGUGAGUCCUGAAAAGCUAUAUGGGAGGUGGCAAAUAGCUCUAGGGCUAUUGAUGUGAAAUGGAAAAUUGCUAAUUCUGAGAUUCCUAGGUCUUUAUCUUGUUACCAAUUAUGUCUAAUUCAUUUAAGUAGUAUCUAUGACAUAUUUCUGAAUAAAUCCUGUGACUCUUUAUUUCCAAAUGUGUAUGUGCAUCUCUUUUCAUAUAUAUAAUUUAUGUUUUUGCUAUAAUUUCUUCAUUUUCACAUUGUAAUAUUAAAAAUAUCUUCAGAUAGUAUAGUUUAACUUCUUUACUCUUUUCCCCAUUGUCUUUUCUUGAAAUAUGUACUUGAACAGAUUUUCCAAUGCAUCUUGUGAACCUUUUGAAGUUUAUUUAUUAAUGAGUACAACAUCCUUGGCACCCUGUGGAUCCCAAAACUAUACCUGAAGAAAAUAGAAGCUGAGUAUUGGAGAUGAAGUCUGGAAGGAAGCGUUUGGCUCAUGGUGGCAGAUUUCUCAUAUAUACAUUAAUCACUGGGGACUGCAGUGGCACCAUCAUAGCUCACCGUAACAUGGAACUACUGGGCUCAAGUGAUCCUCCUACUUCAGCUUCUUGAGCAACUGGGACUACAGAUUGCCGGUUUAAUAGGGCAUCCAGACCAGUGCACCUUGUGCAGAGUGCCGCUGCGCUGCGCCGGCUGCAACGGCAGUGCCGGCCAGCCGGCCAAAACAACCGCGGCGGUGCUCCGUGUCUCUCCUCCACCUGGGAAUCCCCUCGUUCUGUGGGCAACAAAGAUUCGUCUGAAAAUGCGGCUUGAACUCACCCUCUGAGCCUUCACUGAGAUCCGCAACCGCGAGCCACUGCAACCCCGAGCUGUUCCUUCCCUUCCAUCUUGAAGACCGAGAUCGGGUGUAGUCUUCUAUAAGUGUUAAGUAGGUCAGAAUUUCUAAAUUUUAUUUUUAAUCUUCAGUAUCCUUUCUUAAUUUUUUCUCUGAUUUUGUUAGUGCCUUAUCAGUGACUGAGAAGAGUGUGCCAAGAUUCCCUUAAUGACAGAAUAUUUGUAUUUUACUCUUUUUAUCGUUGUCAAUAUUUGUGAUACAUGUUUUUAGUCUAUGUUAUUAAAGGAAAAACGUAGUUCUAUAUAAUUCAAGAAGUUGAUGCUUUUAAAAUAACAAAGCAUCCCUCUUUCUAUCAACUUUCUCCUUAAACAUCAU